RNAcentral lists this ribosomal RNA (328 nucleotides) under uncultured eukaryote. RNAcentral's name for it is "partial 18S ribosomal RNA". It matches the Rfam family "Eukaryotic small subunit ribosomal RNA", at positions 1470 to 1796 of the family's 1831-position model. The record is from RNAcentral.
CCCUUAGAUGUCCUGGGCCGCACGCGCGUUACACUGAUGCAUUCAACGAGCUUAUACCCUUGGCCGAGAGGCCUGGGCAAUCUUGUUAACGUGCAUCGUGAUAGGGAUAGAUUAUUGAAAUUAUUAAUCUUGAACGAGGAAUUCCUAGUAAACGCAGAUCAUCAAUCUGCAUUGAUUACGUCCCUGCCCUUUGUACACACCGCCCGUCGCACCUACCGAUUGGAUGGUCCGGUGAAGCCUCGGGAUUGUGGUUCUUGCCGCUUUAUUGUAGCGUGACCGCGAGAACUUGUCUAAACCUUAUCAUCUAGAGGAAGGUGAAGUCGUAACA